This 253-nucleotide ribosomal RNA is filed under the name uncultured bacterium. Its description in RNAcentral is "partial 16S ribosomal RNA". It matches the Rfam family "Bacterial small subunit ribosomal RNA", at positions 524 to 776 of the family's 1533-position model. The record is from RNAcentral.
UACGGAGGGUGCAAGCGUUGCUCGGAAUUAUUGGGCGUAAAGGGUAGGUAGGUGGUCUUAUUUGUCUGGGGUGAAAGCCUUGAGCUUAACUCGAGAAGUGCCCCAGAAACGGUAAGACUGGAGUCCUGGAGAGGGUCGUGGAAUUCCCGGUGUAGCGGUGAAAUGCGUAGAGAUCGGGAGGAACACCAGAGGCGAAAGCGGCGACCUGGACAGGCACUGACACUCAACUACGACAGCGUGGGGAGCAAACAGG